RNAcentral lists this ribosomal RNA (342 nucleotides) under alpha proteobacterium oral taxon F50. RNAcentral's name for it is "bacterial SSU rRNA". It matches the Rfam family "Bacterial small subunit ribosomal RNA", at positions 30 to 383 of the family's 1533-position model. The record is from RNAcentral. Lineage: Bacteria; Pseudomonadati; Pseudomonadota; Alphaproteobacteria.
CGAACGCUGGCGGCAGGCUUAACACAUGCAAGUCGAGCGAGAUCUUCGGAUCUAGCGGCGGACGGGGUGAGUAACGCGUGGGAACGUGCCCUUUACUACGGAAUAGUCCCCGGAAACUGGGUUUAAUACCGUAUACGCCUUUCCGGGGGGAAAGAUUUAUCGGCAAAAGGAUCGGCCCGCGUUGGAUUUAGGUAGUUUGGUGGGGUAAUGGCCUAACCAAGCCGCUCGAUCCAUAGCUGUUUUUGAGAGGAUGAUUCAGCCACACUGGGGAUGAGACACGGGCCCCAGACUUCCCUACGGAAGGCAAGCAAGUGGGGAAUUCUUAGACAAUGGGGGCAAACC